Molecule: ribosomal RNA, 468 nt
Filed under: uncultured bacterium
Lineage: Bacteria
Description: partial 16S ribosomal RNA
Rfam family: Bacterial small subunit ribosomal RNA
Source: RNAcentral
GACGAACGCUGGCGGCGUGCUUAACGCAUGCAAGUCGAACGGAAAGGCCCUGCUUUUGUGGGGUGCUCGAGUGGCGAACGGGUGAGUAACACGUGAGUAACCUGCCCUUGACUUUGGGAUAACUUCAGGAAACUGGGGCUAAUACCGGAUAGGAGCUCCUGCUGCAUGGUGGGGGUUGGAAAGUUUCGGCGGUUGGGGAUGGACUCGCGGCUUAUCAGCUUGUUGGUGGGGUAGUGGCUUACCAAGGCUUUGACGGGUAGCCGACCUGAGAGGGUGACCGGCCACAUUGGGACUGAGAUACGGCCCAGACUCCUACGGGAGGCAGCAGUGGGGAAUAUUGCACAAUGGGCGGAAGCCUGAUGCAGCAACGCCGCGUGCGGGAUGACGGCCUUCGGGUUGUAAACCGCUUUCGCCUGUGACGAAGCGUGAGUGACGGUAAUGGGUAAAGAAGCACCGGCUAACUACGUG